Molecule: non-coding RNA, 81 nt
Organism: Planoprotostelium fungivorum
Lineage: Eukaryota; Evosea; Variosea; Cavosteliida; Cavosteliaceae
Source: the annotation of a GenBank genome assembly
GACAGCAUGGCCGAGUGGUUAAGGCGUCAGACUUGAAAUCUGAUUCCCUAGGGAUCGUGAGUUCAAACCUCACUGCUGUCG